Molecule: long non-coding RNA, 492 nt
Filed under: Bos taurus (domestic cattle)
Lineage: Eukaryota; Metazoa; Chordata; Mammalia; Artiodactyla; Bovidae
Description: long non-coding RNA NONBTAT016224
Source: RNAcentral
GAAGCUUCGAUUUUCCAUCUGCUGAGGUCACCACGGAACCUCAUCACUGUCUGAGGAAACAGACCGGAAAGAUACACUGGUGUUCUGCUAGUGCAUGGGUGUCCAAGGAAUUAGUUUGGCUAUAGAAAGGACUUCAUUUAGUGUUCCAGCAAUGUCUGUUAGAACUUCAUUUACUUUUUUCAUGCCUUGGCUAAUUUUCCAUUAUUAAGGUUGGUUGUUGUACAUUAUUACCAUCCCAGAAAGCCUUGACUUCACUUUCUGGGCUACUUUAGUGUUGAUAUCAGCUAAAAAGUAAAAGCAUCUCCUUUAUUCAAAAUUACUCAAGUAACUCUUUUUUUUUUAAACUUUAUCCCAAGCUCUUCAAAAACUAUUUUAGGUGAUUUUCCUUCAUUUGUUUCUACCAUAAUAAGAAAGUGGGUUUCUUUUUCAUCUUCUCAAUAUUUGUUAUUGAGAAGUAUUUUUCCCCUCAGAAAACAAAAGUUGGCAAAGUUU